RNAcentral lists this ribosomal RNA (419 nucleotides) under uncultured ammonia-oxidizing beta proteobacterium. RNAcentral describes it as "bacterial SSU rRNA". It matches the Rfam family "Bacterial small subunit ribosomal RNA", at positions 197 to 597 of the family's 1533-position model. The record is from RNAcentral. Lineage: Bacteria; Pseudomonadati; Pseudomonadota; Betaproteobacteria.
UGGAGGAAAGCAGGGGAUCGUAAGACCUUGCGCUUUUGGAGUGGCCGAUGCCUGAUUAGCUAGUUGGUGGGGUAAGAGCCUACCAAGGCGACGAUCAGUAGUUGGUCUGAGAGGACGACCAGCCACACUGGGACUGAGACACGGCCCAGACUCCUACGGGAGGCAGCAGUGGGGAAUUUUGGACAAUGGGCGGAAGCCUGAUCCAGCAAUGCCGCGUGAGUGAAGAAGGCCUUCGGGUUGUAAAGCUCUUUCAGUCGAGAAGAAAAGGUUGUGACUAAUAAUCGCAACUUAUGACGGUAUCGACAGAAGAAGCACCGGCUAACUACGUGCCAGCAGCCGCGGUAAUACGUAGGGUGCGAGCGUUAAUCGGAAUUACUGGGCGUAAAGGGUGCGCAGGCGGCUUUGUAAGUCAGAUGUGA